Diabrotica virgifera virgifera (western corn rootworm) is the source of this 1172-nucleotide long non-coding RNA. RefSeq lists it as uncharacterized. Lineage: Eukaryota; Metazoa; Arthropoda; Insecta; Coleoptera; Chrysomelidae. The transcript has 2 exons. The record is from RefSeq and is a predicted model, not a curated record.
UGCAAAAUAAAAUAAACGAAAUAUAUCUUGAGAUUAAACAUUCAAGUUGAAGGUGUGUUCUUCCUUAAACUGGAAUGAUAAUUUUGUAAUUCUGUAGGCACAUCUAUUGAGAAGUUACAACCAGUGGCAAAGUGCCUUAAGGGAGUCUAUGACAUAUAUUUGAAGGGACAUCUCCUCUGAAGGAAUUACAAUUAUUUGCCAGUAUGUCAAAUGAAUUUUCAACAUCAGUCAUACUUUCAUGAAUUUAUUGAUGAAAAUAAAACUAGGUACAUGAUUUAUUUACUUCCAAGGGAUUCUAAGAUACUAUGUGUAAAAAGUCAAAUAUGCAGUGAUGAGCAUGCUAAUAACUGGCAAAAUAUGGGAUAUAACGCCAAAGAUGGGAAACAUGGGAUGAAUUCUGAAGUAAAAAGAGAUGAAACUGAGAGAAAUUAUCGAUAUAAACAUAUAAAUUAACAUUACAUUACAUAGGUUCCCACCUUUAGACGUAUCAGAUGAGUAUGAGAACUGUCACUGUGACAGGAGAAUUUUAUAAAAUACUCCUGUCACAAAGGUGGGAAACUAUGUAAUGUUAUCGUCGGCUAAGAGUGUUAACCUGCUAACUCCAUUUUUCACUGUGAGUGAUAUUGGGGUAGUUUCUAGGUCUGUGUACCUUCAUACCAUGUCCCACAAGCCCGCUGGUUCCACUGUAGUUUAGAGAUAGCUACUUCUAAACUACAUUGGUGUCGGCGGGUUUGUGGGGUGGUGUAUGAAAAUACACAGACCCAGAAACUAGCCCAAUAUCACUCAAAGUGAAAAAUGGAGUUAGCAGGUUAAAAAUCUUAUCCAAGGUUAUGUUAAUUUAUUCGUUUAUAACGAUAAGUUCCACUUCUACCAGUUUCAUCUCUUUUUAUCUCACAAGUUAAUAUGUUUUCCAUCUUUUGCGUUAUUUUGCCGGUUAUUAGUGUGAGUGCUCAUUACUGUAUAUUUACGAUUCUGUGAUUUCUCAAUAUGAUGCUGAGUAGGUAUAGAUGAGCAUCUACAACCCUUUCAAAACAGAAAUUUAUAAGUUCAUUUUAUGUACCUAUUAAACUUUAUUUUAAGGAUGAAUUUGAAAUGCUUGUAGGGAAUAUAUCUGUAAAAAUAAAAUUGGUAUUAUAAAAUUGAAAUUCUCAAAAUAUAAUUUAUAAUUCGAA